UCUCCGUAGGUGAACCUGCGGAGGGAUCAUUACUGAGUGAGGGUUUAACCGCCCGACCUCCAACCCUUUGUCGUACCCAACCGUUGCCUCGGGGGGCGACCCGGCCGUUCGCGCCGGGCGGCCCUCCGAGGUCCAUUAACAACCUGCAUUUUGACGUCGGAGUAUUGAAAACAAUCAAUCAAAACUUUCAGCAACGGAUCUCUUGGUUCUGGCAUCGAUGAAGAACGCAGC
This 231-nucleotide unclassified non-coding RNA is filed under the name uncultured fungus. RNAcentral describes it as "sequence contains ITS1, 5.8S rRNA gene". The stretch from base 183 to 231 matches the Rfam family "5.8S ribosomal RNA", at positions 1 to 49 of the family's 154-position model. The record is from RNAcentral. Lineage: Eukaryota; Fungi.